UCCCAGGUGGCUCAGUGGGUAAAGAACCUGCCUGUAAUGCAGGAGACGCAGGAGACUUGGGUUCAAUUCCUGGGUUGGGAA
Molecule: transfer RNA, 81 nt
Filed under: Bos taurus (domestic cattle)
Lineage: Eukaryota; Metazoa; Chordata; Mammalia; Artiodactyla; Bovidae
Also listed under: 4 other names
Rfam family: tRNA
About the family: Transfer RNA (tRNA) molecules are approximately 80 nucleotides in length. Their secondary structure includes four short double-helical elements and three loops (D, anti-codon, and T loops). Further hydrogen bonds mediate the characteristic L-shaped molecular structure. tRNAs have two regions of fundamental functional importance: the anti-codon, which is responsible for specific mRNA codon recognition, and the 3' end, to which the tRNAs corresponding amino acid is attached (by aminoacyl-tRNA synthetases). tRNAs cope with the degeneracy of the genetic code in two manners: having more than one tRNA (with a specific anti-codon) for a particular amino acid; and 'wobble' base-pairing, i.e. permitting non-standard base-pairing at the 3rd anti-codon position.
Source: Rfam by way of RNAcentral